GCCGAUUUAGAGUUGGAUUUCGAAGAUGAUGAAGUUGAAGAAAAGAUAGAUUAAGGUAAGAUCUAUCCAUUUUUGUUGGUUUUGUUUGCAUGCAUGAUGUUUUCGUUCUGUUUGAUUAGUUCUUAAGUGUGUAUUCUCUGUUGUUUUAGGCAUAAUUUUAGCACUUGGAGGAGUCAUUUGGAGUCAUUUAGAGCUUGAGGAGUAGGAUUUGCUAAGCGAAGUGAACUACGAAGUUGAAGAUCAAGGGAUGGGCUUUGCAAUACAUGGAAUUUUUUGUGCAUGCACGAUGGUAAUUAGUUAGUCUUUUAGCUCGUCAUUAGCUAUGCGAUGUUAGUGCUUAGAGAUUAGAAAUAAUUUCAGACGACAGAUACAAUAUUUAUAAUAUUUUUUUAGAAGAGUAGGUUGAAGAUGUUGUAUCUAUGUUAGGUGCGUCCAUUAGUAUUGACAUGCGAGAAAUCUUAAUAGGUAAUUAAGAAAAAACGUGUACUGUAAUUGUUCAUUGCAUGUGGUAUGUUUAUUAAUAAGUCUAUAGUUAGGAAGCCAUAGGUCUACUUUGUUAUGUCGCAAUAAUCUAAAUAUUAUAUGUUAAGAUUAUGUGCUAAUAUACUUGAUGAUGUAUGUAAUUAGGUAAAAUAAUUCAUCUUAGUAGCAAACAAGGAGGAGAUGACGUGAUUGAAGAAAUUGUGUUUCCAUCUUCGCUGUCCCUUUUGAGGUGAUGACCACAUACAUGCAAGUGCUAUUUUCAUACUUUUGGUAGCAGAAAGAAAAAUCCGUGUGUAAUAUUGAUGUUCAUGUGAUAAUAGGUUGACUCCGUUCAUAUAGUACUGGUGACGGAAAUUUAUUCAAACUAUUUGGACUCUUAAUUGCAUUUGCAAGCACAUCCAUAUUGGAGCUAAGGUAUAAAAUGACACCUUAAUUUUGUUAAUAUUUUUUAUAUUGAUGUACUGUUGUGAAUAAUGUGCAUGCCGCUGCAAAUAUUAUUAUUUGUAAAUAAAUGGUUGCUAUCGUAUGAUAUGAAAAAAUUAUAUAAAGCCGGAAGAAAUUAAAUGUUUUACUCAUAUGAUAUUAAAAUGUUAUUAUCGUACUAUUAUGUUUAGUGGUUAUUUGGAUAGCGAGUAAUUACCAUCGGUUUUGUCAUAACUUGUUGUAAGAAAAUUAGUUUUUACUAAUAGUCGUUUUUACUCUCGUAGACGAGUUUGAGAAAAAAUAGAUCUUUAAAUACCCGUUAACCAAACAACCCCUUAAAGUCUAAGCAAAUGAUUCUAGAAACAAACCGAAUAUUUGUAAUGAAAAUACGAUUAUUAUUUUAGUCGUAUGAUAUGUAAAUGUUGUCAUCGUUACUAAAUGUUCAGUUACUAAUUAUUUGAAAUGUAAACAUGUAUGGUGGUUAGGUACUAUGGAAAAUUUUAGUAGUGUACUAUGGGAACAUCUUACAAGACGGUCCUUUCGGGGUGGAUGUGUCCUUGUGCGAGUCGGCAAUAGUUGUAGUGAGAGACAUGGUCAACGUGGGUUACGCAGCAGUUAGUAGGUGCAUCCGAGUGGUGUUUGGCCUAGGGAUGCAGGGGAAAAAAUGACAAUGGAGGCAUUCGUUGUUGACGGAGGAAAUGAUGGGACAGUUGCCCGUUGGGGUUUGCAGCCUGUCACAGGUGAUCGGUCGUGGGGGUCGUACAUGAGGUUUGCAAGCAAUCCCAAUAACUCAAUGUAUGGUUAGCCAAUGAUGUAUGUGGAGUUCAUUUCAGUCAUUGAUGUUGCUGGAUGCAGUAGCAGGGGUGGUGAGAUCGAGUUGGCCAUCACAUCAGCCCCUAGUGUCGGCCCAUCAGAACCGACGGGCGGCCAGUCUGUGUAUGACACAGGAUAUUGGUCUGCGGUCGUUGACAUGAGCGAACAUGUGGAGGGAUUGCCGGAGGCGCUAGAUGAUGAUGAUCAUUCUUCUGCGUCUUCGGAGUCAAGCGAAGAAGAUGUUCCUCCUCAGAGGGCGGUCGUGGCAGCACUGCAACCUGGGUUUUUACAGGAUAUGAGCAUCACCAAUGAAUUUCACUCUGCUUCUGGCCUAGGAGCUGGGAGCCUGGAGGUUGGGCAAGUUUUCCUAGACAAGAAGUCUUCUUACCAGGCAAUGAAUAGCUAUGCAAUUGGCAUCCACCGCCAGCAUAGAGUGAAGCAGUCUGAUAAAACGAAGUUGAAGGUCAUAUGCAUCCACACCGCGAAAGGUUGCCGCGGAAGAGUUCUCGCUAGACUGAAGCCUGGGGUAUGUCAGUCAUGGCAUAUCACAAAAAUAGUGGAGCAUACCUGUGAGCAAACUGGGACUCUUUCAAAUCACUGCAAUGUGAUAGCAACAUAUGUGGCACAGAUGAUGGAAACGAUUGUGCAGGGAAGUCUCAACAUUAGUGUUAGGGCUCUAUAAAAAGAUGCAGAGGAUCAAAUUGGCUUCCCUAUCAGCUACAACAAGGCUAGGCAUGCAAAGUAAAAUAUACUCAAGAACUUGUAUGGUACCUAUGAGGAGACCUAUUUUUAUGCCCUCAGAAUGCUUCAUCAGACAGCAAGUGCUAAUAGGGGACUCAAGUUUCGCGGAGAGAACGUCCAAACCCAAUGAAACCGGGUGAGCUAAUCCUGGACCGCUUAUUCUGGGCAUUCGCCCAGACUAUACAAUCCUUUAGGCACUGUCGUCCGGUAUUAUCAGUUGAUGGUACCUUUCUCACUAGAAAGUACAAGGGCCACUACACCACGCACCAGAAUUCCCUACUGGCGUAUGUUGGGAAAGGUCAUUUAUACUGACAUGUAGUCGGUCGGGAAAACUUGCAUCAGACAGUUGGUCGGGAAUUCAAACUUGUGACGUCCAACGGUCGGUCGGGAAUGCUCGUAUAUUUCACGUCUGCUGAUCGGUCGGGAGUAGGGACUAAGGAUGGCAAUUUUACCCAUGGACAUGGAUACCCAUGGAUAUCCGACCCGAAUGGAUAGGUUUUGAAUAUGCUUUUGUGCCCAUGGAUAGCGUUCAAACCCGACCCGAUUCCCCGUGGGUAGGGCAUGGAUCUAAACUUUUACCCAUGGGUAUACCCAAACCCGACCCGGUAGUAUGAUUUAUUGGGCCAAAAUCUGCUAUCCUUACCCCACAGUCACAUAUCCCACUGCAAGUUUCCACUUUGUUAUCUAAAACAUACAAAAAAAAUUGCAUGAUCCCCGUCGUAACUUCUAUUAAUUUACAUUCAAUUUCCACCAUAACAUACUACAACGGCCCUUCCUUUAUUUUUAUCUCCUCAUUAAAUGACUCAUCAUUCUCAUCUUUUAGAAAAAUACUAAAUGAUAUUAGGUUGUUAGUGGACGUUGAUUUUCCAUAAGUUGAUGUUUACCAUAAGUGAAGUAUAACCUGCCACAAGAUGAAGAAUGGAAGAGCUUGUAUUAACAUUAUGUUAUGUCUUAUAUAUAUGUCUUGAGAAGACCCAGCGAAUAUCCAAUGAGUAUGGAUAUCCAUCGGGUUUGGACAUGGACACAAAUUUUCACCCUUGGAUUUUUUCAUGGGUGAGCAAAGACUUUCUUCACGGAUAUGGAUAUGGAUUUGAUAUUGUUCAACCUGAUCCAAAACCGAUUCAUUGCCAUCCUUAAGGAGGACUUCCAUCGAAGCAAUUUUUCCCGACCAACUGUUGGUGGCUAAUUGGGCCGAUCAGUCGCUCACGCGGGAAGGUGAAAAUUGUUGGCGCUGAAAUGAGCCCAGCCCACGAAACAAAGCCACCUCCCCUUUUCCCCUUCUUCCCCCAAAUCCCUCAGAUCUGGAAUCCAGUUUCUACAUCCGUCGCCGCCGCCCAUGGUCGGGCUCUCUCUCCGCCGCACGCGCUGCUCCCCGCAGCCGGCCAGGUGCUCUCCAGCCGGUGAGACCGCCGCAGCCUCUCUCCCCCCACCGGCCUGUCCACCGCCGACCCCACUCCACACAGCCGCCGGUGGAACCCUACUCCAUACUGCCGCCGCCUCCACUGGCAGGAGCUUUCUCCGCUGCCCCCUCCGUCUGCAGGUAUUCUCCCCUCCUAUCUGUUUGCCCUUCCCUUCACCGCCGCUCACCGCACUGCCCUACACGCACAGAUGGUCUUGCCGUUGCCGUCCAAACCCUACCGGCGGUUGCCCUUUUUGUCCGUGCCCAAGCUUAUCUAUCUCCUGGAGGUGCCGCCGGCAAGAAGGUAAUGCUCCAAGAUGCCUCUUCCAAGAUGACGGUGGGUCUUUAGCACCUCUGGUGUUUUUUCGGAGUGAGACAACGAUUUCUCUUCUGAAGAAUUGUUUUUUCCUUUCACAUGUGCAUGCUUAUGUUAUUUGCGGAUGUUGAAAGCUAAUUUAUGCAUGAGCACACCUUCUGCAUAGUUGUUAUGCAUGAGCACACCUUCUGCAUAGUUGUUAUGCAUGAGCACACCUUCUGCAUAGUGGUCAAUUUGGUUGACCUUGAUUGUCAAAAGAAAUUUGCUUAGUGGAUUGUCAUAAGUAACUUGUGUAGUGCUGAAACUUGGAACAUAGAACUUAGCUAUAAAUCUUAACUAUGAUGGUACUUUGGGGAAAAUUGCACAUUGUUACUGAUUUUAGUGACUUAUUUAUUGCUCUGAACCUUGGUUUGUCACCAUAGUUUAGACUCUUGAGUGUUGUUCUGGCUUUGAAAAGUGGGAUCCUAGAGAGGCUAGUCUGUGCAAUAUAUGAAAAUGCUAAUGAUGUCCUGUGAGAAGUUGAGAUCAUGUACAAGAACAAUAAUUAUGUGUGUAGCAAUGAUACAUUCGGAGGCAAAGCAAGACUUGAGAUUCUGGUUCAGUUUCACCUCUUGCCUCUGCACAUAAAUUAAGAUACAAAUUGAGCACAGCACCUUUAGUUCCUAGUUGUCAUCAUAAAAGUACUGAACCUGACAUCUACAAAAAUAUAUUCCUUGCAUAAUCUCUUGCUUUUUCUUGAUGAGCACUAACCAGGAAUACCACUGACCAGCGGGAUUCGAACGAUGUGUGGAUUUCCAAAAAGGUUUUCUUAUAGUGAUAUAUACCGUUUGAUAUUGAUUUCAUGAAUUCCUGCUAACUUUGUUGUUUUCUAUGAAGUUCAGUUCCCGCAACACCUAUUUCGUUUCCUGUGAUCCACAUGUGAGGCAUAGAAAGGGUUCAAUUUUAUAUAGUUUAUGAGAUGAAAGGGGAAGGGACUGUUAGUUAAGAACAAUUGUAUAUUAAAUGACAGUUAAACAUUUGGAUUUAAGCAAUAGAUCAACAGAGCAUUUUUCUGCAGUUUAAUAACGCUAUAAGAUAAAGAUUCUUCUAAAUGGUUGAAAUUAAUUUUUACUUGAAUGAUGUGCUAAAAUCAACCUCUAUACACCCAGGCACCAUUUUUGUACAGAAUAUAUAUGAUGCUUGCUCCGUGAAUGACUAUCUUGUUGCACGCAUGUCUCCGAAUAAAAUGCAAGGGGUUAGAAACACAUGCAGCACUUCGUAAAUGGUUCCUUAUUCCUGAUCUUUUUAUUGCGCACAGAUCUUACAACUUUUUGGUGCACCACUAUUAGAGGUCUGACCUACAGAAGUCUCCACGGUAAAUAAAGUCUGCCGCCUACCUCGCAGCCUGCUCCUUUCAUAGGAAUCAUUGUGUUGUCUUCAUACUUCACAGGUUUUGUGCUAGCCGUGAAAUGUUUUUGGCCACAUAACUUAUUCAACUAGGUACCUCCGCUGCUCUGCGACCACGAGAAGCUCCAUGCCUUGGUGAGGUCGGUCCCUAUUUUUAGGACUAGGUGGUGUGCUAUGAUUCCCGCUUCCUACUGAUUUGUCCACUUUUUCUCUGUCCUACUCCUCUCUUUUGAUUUAAUCCCCUGAAUCUCUAAUCUUUGUUUGUGCAGAUUCUCUCUUACCUAUGCCUACAAGGUGUUUGAUGAAAAUCCAAGCAAGCUGCAAAGAAUAUUCAUCUAUGUAAUAUCUAAGUUCUGUUGUCUCUGCUUAAUAACUUUUGUCUGAAAUUUAGUUGCAUUCAAUGAUUACUUCCUCUCAUGCCAAUGCGGCAAUAUCUCUCAUCUGAAUUCUCAUUUGUCUUUGCCAGUUACAUAGUGCCUUACGUGCUACCUAGAUAUUGGAGUAGCAUAUUAUCUGCGAAAAUGCUUUUCUUUUUUACAGUCAUUUGUAUGCCACAUCUGGUAGCGUUGGUCCUUUCUAAAGGCCAAUAUGAAAGGGCAACUUAUAUAUGUCAAAUCGCAUGGGUACUUUACUUGGUACUUUCAGGUUUUGAUAUUACUCUAUCACUAGAAUUUCCUUUCGAACAUUGCAAUUAGCUUUUAUCAUAGCAUUGUAAGUAUUGAGAAAUUUGUUCAUCAUACCUCCUAGGUAAACUGGAAGUAUUGUACUAGUCAGCAGGAACCGUGUUCCAAUUGCAUCCUGGGGAUUUUCAUCCUUGUUCUAGCUUCAUUUAAUAAUGUUUGAUGUUGCAGAUAUAGAAUAAUGUUUACGCUUACCUCACCAUAUACCAAUUUGGUUGUUUACUAAUGUUGCAUCUGUAACAUGUCCUAUUUUUCCAUAGUUUGUUUGUUAUGGGAAAUUGGUGAUGAUCUGGUAAGGAAAGAAAUCUUCAAGUCUCGGGUUUUUCUACAACCAUUCCCCCAUGGUGGUAACCUCUCCCAGCGAAUCAUAAUGUAAACUGACUCGGAUCAGGUGUAAAUUUAUUCUUUUUUCUGCUGUAAAAAAAAACUUUCCACUGAAGUACACUAAAGUGCAGCAUCCAAUAAACAGACUUAAUGAUAUUCUAUUUGAAUAAUUAAUAUAUCAUGUUCUUGGACUUCUGUCAUGAGUGCCUUAUAGAUGUGCACCAUGCCAUAAGUACAAGCAGCAUGCGUACGUGCAUGGAGUCAUUUAACGCGAGGAAUAGGAGAGAAAAAAGCAGGUCCGCAAUGAAAAGCGGCAUGGCAAGGCACGCGUGUACUUCUAGUGGUUACCUAUACUUGAAUGGAGUGCCUUCUUGUGUAGGUGUUUCGGUACUAGCUUACCUUGCGAAGUAAUAAUUUUCGUCAAUGCUAUGCCUUAUACAAGUUUUAUGCUGCCAUUGUCUUAUUUUGCAGGAAAGGCAUGCAAGAGGGCAAGGAACCCUGAAGCUGGUGGUCCGGGAUCCUUUGUUUAAUGGUGACUGAAUCGUUGGAGAUGCAUUUUACCAUCAUUUUGUAAACCCGCAUUGUGUUUGAGACAAUGAACCAUAUGUUUUCUCUUUAAUUAGUUACAUUAGUUUAUGGGAAAAUUUGGAUGGUCGUUAUGUUAAUAAUGAAUGAACUAUUUAUAUGUGAAAUUAAUUAAUAUUUGUUUUUAUUGUCUGGUUAUGGUUCAUUAUUGUUGGAGGAGUUGCAUGUUAUUGUUAUGAAAUAACUUGAUUGAUAUUCUGUUGGUAAUGCAAAUGUAUGC
Molecule: long non-coding RNA, 7370 nt
Filed under: Triticum aestivum (bread wheat)
Lineage: Eukaryota; Viridiplantae; Streptophyta; Magnoliopsida; Poales; Poaceae
Description: long non-coding RNA (TAES_LNC027413)
Source: RNAcentral